This 434-nucleotide ribosomal RNA is filed under the name uncultured Clostridium sp. RNAcentral's name for it is "partial 16S ribosomal RNA". It matches the Rfam family "Bacterial small subunit ribosomal RNA", at positions 341 to 792 of the family's 1533-position model. The record is from RNAcentral. Lineage: Bacteria; Bacillati; Bacillota; Clostridia; Eubacteriales; Clostridiaceae.
ACGGGAGGCAGCAGUGGGGAAUAUUGGACAAUGGGGGAAACCCUGAUCCAGCGACGCCGCGUGAGUGAAGAAGUAUUUCGGUACGUAAAGCUCUAUCAGCAGGGAAGAUAAUGACGGUACCUGACUAAGAAGCCCCGGCUAACUACGUGCCAGCAGCCGCGGUAAUACGUAGGGGGCAAGCGUUAUCCGGAUUUACUGGGUGUAAAGGGAGCGUAGACGGUCUUGCAAGUCUGAAGUGAAAGCCCGGGGCUCAACCCCGGAACUGCUUUGGAAACUGUAAAACUAGAGUGCAGGAGAGGUAAGCGGAAUUCCUAGUGUAGCGGUGAAAUGCGUAGAUAUUAGGAGGAACACCAGCGGCGAAGGCGGCUUACUGGACUGUAACUGACGUUGAGGCUCGAAGGCGUGGGGAGCAAACAGGAUUAGAUACCCUGGUA